GUCGAGCGAACAGACGAGGAGCUUGCUCCUCUGACGUUAGCGGCGGACGGGUGAGUAACACGUGGAUAACCUACCUAUAAGACUGGGAUAACUUCGGGAAACCGGAGCUAAUACCGGAUAAUAUAUUGAACCGCAUGGUUCAAUAGUGAAAGACGGUUUUGCUGUCACUUAUAGAUGGAUCCGCGCCGCAUUAGCUAGUUGGUAAGGUAACGGCUUACCAAGGCAACGAUGCGUAGCCGACCUGAGAGGGUGAUCGGCCACACUGGAACUGAGACACGGUCCAGACUCCUACGGGAGGCAGCAGUAGGGAAUCUUCCGCAAUGGGCGAAAGCCUGACGGAGCAACGCCGCGUGAGUGAUGAAGGUCUUCGGAUCGUAAAACUCUGUUAUUAGGGAAGAACAAAUGUGUAAGUAACUAUGCACGUCUUGACGGUACCUAAUCAGAAAGCCACGGCUAACUACGUGCCAGCAGCCGCGGUAAUACGUAGGUGGCAAGCGUUAUCCGGAAUUAUUGGGCGUAAAGCGCGCGUAGGCGGUUUUUUAAGUCUGAUGUGAAAGCCCACGGCUCAACCGUGGAGGGUCAUUGGAAACUGGAAAACUUGAGUGCAGAAGAGGAAAGUGGAAUUCCAUGUGUAGCGGUGAAAUGCGCAGAGAUAUGGAGGAACACCAGUGGCGAAGGCGACUUUCUGGUCUGUAACUGACGCUGAUGUGCGAAAGCGUGGGGAUCAAACAGGAUUAGAUACCCUGGUAGUCCACGCCGUAAACGAUGAGUGCUAAGUGUUAGGGGGUUUCCGCCCCUUAGUGCUGCAGCUAACGCAUUAAGCACUCCGCCUGGGGAGUACGACCGCAAGGUUGAAACUCAAAGGAAUUGACGGGGACCCGCACAA
This 886-nucleotide ribosomal RNA is filed under the name Staphylococcus epidermidis. RNAcentral describes it as "bacterial SSU rRNA". It matches the Rfam family "Bacterial small subunit ribosomal RNA", at positions 61 to 928 of the family's 1533-position model. The record is from RNAcentral. Lineage: Bacteria; Bacillati; Bacillota; Bacilli; Caryophanales; Staphylococcaceae.